Long non-coding RNA from Hermetia illucens (black soldier fly), 370 nucleotides. RefSeq lists it as uncharacterized. The transcript is spliced from 2 exons. NCBI's taxonomy places the organism in Eukaryota, Metazoa, Arthropoda, Insecta, Diptera, Stratiomyidae. The record is from RefSeq and is a predicted model, not a curated record.
GAUUUAAUUUACUAAAGGUUGCGCACUCAUGAGCAUUCGUUAACGUUUGGCAUUUUCGUCUUGGACAGUGAAAAACCACAGAAUGGCUAUCAUGUGUGAUUGGGUUUUCUCUGCGAUGCGAAAGUAAAAUUGGGCGGAAUGGGAGGCAAUGCUUAAGAUGGAUAUCUACUUUGGACCAUGGUUACGAAAGUCGGCGUGUUAAAGCAGUAAGAUGAUCCCACCGCUAAUAAAGAUACAUCAACGAGCUUCUUAAGUCGUAGGGAAGAAAGCAUGAACAUUUGUUUUUGAAGAGUUGUAGAUAUGGUCAUAAGUCGACUUAAAGACUGUGAAUAGGAACCGUUAUAAUACACACUCAUUUAUGUUAAUUUUA